Molecule: ribosomal RNA, 497 nt
Filed under: uncultured bacterium
Lineage: Bacteria
Description: partial 16S ribosomal RNA
Rfam family: Bacterial small subunit ribosomal RNA
Source: RNAcentral
GAUGAACGCUGGCGGCGUGCCUAAUACAUGCAAGUCGAGCGAACAGAUAAGGAGCUUGCUCCUUUGACGUUAGCGGCGGACGGGUGAGUAACACGUGGGUAACCUACCUAUAAGACUGGAAUAACUCCGGGAAACCGGGGCUAAUGCCGGAUAACAUUUAGAACCGCAUGGUUCUAAAGUGAAAGAUGGUUUUGCUAUCACUUCUAGAUGGACCCGCGCCGUAUUAGCUAGUUGGUAAGGUAACGGCUUACCAAGGCAACGAUACGUAGCCGACCUGAGAGGGAGAUCGGCCACACUGGAACUGAGACACGGUCCAGACUCCUACGGGAGGCAGCAGUAGGGAAUCUACCGCAAUGGGCGAAAGCCUGACGGAGCAACGCCGCGUGAGGGAUGAAGGUCUUCGGAUCGUAAAACUCUGUUAUUAGGGAAGAACAAAUGUGUAAGUAACUGGGCACGUCUUGACGGUACCUAAUCAGAAAGCCACGGCUAACUACGUG